This 5126-nucleotide long non-coding RNA is filed under the name Sus scrofa (pig). RNAcentral describes it as "lncRNA (ENSSSCG00000054983.1)". The record is from RNAcentral. Lineage: Eukaryota; Metazoa; Chordata; Mammalia; Artiodactyla; Suidae.
CAGCACUGGAUGUCACUGCACUCCAAGAAGGGCUGGCAGAGGUGUGCAAGGACUAGGAAAGAUUCCAGGACACAUCAGAGUGUCACAUAAGGUUAGUUGUUGGGACAACAGCCCUCAAGUAAAACUUCAAGUGAGACUACAGAAUUCUGAAUAUUUUCUAAUGGCAUUUAUCUCCAGGAGAAAGAAAACUGCUAUGGUUGAUGGAAAGACCAAAUAGAAUUAGAUUCGACGUCAGUAACUUUGCAUGGCACUGAAAUGUCUUACAGAAUUAAUUCCAAGUUUACAGAAUGGAGGUCUCAGUCCCAUUUGAUUUAGAAAUUUUACCAUUUAUAGAUUAGACUAUAGUGAUUAUUCAGGUGUAAUGAACAGAACAGGAGGAAGCCAAAAUCAAUCUUUCUAACAAGAUUCACUAUGUGGCUUCCAAGCUGUUGUUUUUCAUCAACUAGAUGUUUGGGUUCCCCCCACCACCCCAAUGAAUAAUUCGCCAUUUUUUGGUUUAAACUAUUCUCUCUCCUGUUCAGGGUUCUGAUCCCUGAAAUUUUGUUUUUCACUCUUUAUUUGCCAUUACCAAGACUGCUCACCUAAAAUGAACCCUCUAACACAAAUGCCUAAAUACUUUUUCCAACAUCCAGAAGCUUCUCUUCUUUAGGAAGGCUGCAAAGCAAAGUAUUAAAAAUAAAAACUGGGCAUUCCCAUUGUGGAUCAGUGGAUUAAGGACCCGAUGUUGUCUCUGGGAGGAUACAGAUUCGAUCCUUGGCCUUGCUCAGUAGGAUGUAGAAUAGGUAACAGAUGCAUCUCAAAUCCCGUGUUGCUGUUGCUAUGGUGUAGACCCUCAGCUGCAUCUCUGAUUCCACCCCUAACCCAAGAACUUCCAUAUGCUGCUUGUGUGGCUAUUAAAAAAAAUGAAAUUAAAUUGAAAAAUAAAAACUAACAACAACAAAAACUGACCUUAGAAUCAGCGUCCCUGGUUCUGGUUCUCGCUGCUGUAUGAUAUGACUUUGUGCAAAACACUUGAUCUUCCAGAGCCACGAUUUUUUUCAUUUAUAAAAGGAAGGUAAUUUUUAAAAAUCUAAGCAAUAGUGUUUUAUGAAGAAUAAUUGCGAUAGUGCAUAUUUUCAUUUCACAGAAAGCUUGGCACGUAUUGGACUUAAUAAAUAGUAGUCAUCGUCUUUUUAAAUCAUAGUGCCACUCCAUGAUUUUUCUGGAUAGUGUAAUAAUAUUCACAUUUUUUGAGCAUAUACAUUGGACUAGGCACUCCUCUGGAAAUUUUACAUACAUAAUCUCAUUAUUUUAUUUUAUUUUAUUAUUUUUUUAUGGCUGCACCUGUGGCAUAUGGAAAUUCCCAGGCUAGGGGUCAAAUCAGAGCUGCAGCUGUGGCCUACCCCAUAGCUGUGGCAACACUAGAUCUGAACCACAUCUGCAAAUUUCACCACAGCUUGUGGCAAUGCCAGAUCCUUGAUUCACUGAGCAAGGCCAGGCAUGGAACCCACAUACUCACAGAGACAAAAAGUCCUUAUUUACCCACUGAGCCUCAAAGGAACUCCCUCAUGUCAUUAUUUUAAACUCCUUCAAGAUUGAUCUUCUUUUUACCAGUUUUGCAAAUGAAGUGGUUUAGUGCAGUUUUAAAAGUAUUUUUCAGAAUCAGACAGACCUGGGUUCCCUUAUAUAGAUUCUAAAAUGUAUAAGCUAUGAGACCUUGGGUAAGUUGCUUAAUCCCUCUGGCUCUUAGUCUCCCCAUUUGAGAAAGCACAGUUUUAUUUGGACUUUGCAGAAACUGAAUGUGACGUGAUAUGUAAAUUGCAUAGCACAGCUCCUAGUGUGUAAUAAACAUCAACAAAUCUUAGCCAUUUUUUAAAAUUUUCACAAGAAAAUUGAGUCUCGGAGAGAAUAUUUGCCCAAGGUAGCACAGCCUAUAAAUGUGGAAGCCAAGAUCCAAGAGCAGGUACAAAACCAAAAUCUGUGUUCUUUCCAGCAUUUUUCUAGCUGAGGUCAGUUAAUUUGACCCCUGUCAUUCUAAACAUUGAAAAGCUUUUCUACUUGCCUUUACUGCUGGACAUAAGUUGGCUAGUGGAUGGUGGUCAUUCAGCUCCCAUAUUCACUUAAUUUUUCAGCUGCCUGUUCUUCUCCUAAGGGUGGUUACCUAUACCUAAUCAAGUCAUCUAUAUUAACUCCAGACCUUUGCAAUAAGAAGCUGGAUAAGAGAUAAGGAAUGCUCCAGCCAUGGACAUAAAUGCAUAAGGACAAGAAUUGGCUGACCUCACAGGAAACAGUAUAUAUUUCUUUUUUUUUUCUUUUUUUGCUUUUUGGGGCCACACUUGUGACAGAAGUUCAGAAUCUCAAUAAAAGCAAUAUAACCAUGCUGUGAGAAAUAAGAGCUCUUCUGUGUAUUAUCUCCCAAACAGACCUUUCCACCUGGCAUUGUUUUUACACAGUAAUUGAAAUAAAGGCAGAUCUAUGUGGAACAUGUUGGUAUUAUCAUUAGUUAUUUAUUUCAAAUAUGUAUAUCUGUAAGACAGGUUAGGUGAUAAAGAACAAGCUAUUUUCAAAUGUGAACUUGGGGUUAAAACUACUUAUCCUAAUACAAUUAGAAGGACAGCCUUGUAAUCAAUAAACCAGCCACCUGUAGAAGGAACUACUUGCACCAAGUGAUCAUUUGUAGUCACUGGAGGUCAACUGGAAGAUGUUGCUUAUUAUUUAAGAAAUCUACAGCCCACUGUACCUCAAUUGAAGAAUAAUACCAUAUUAACAGAUGAAGAGUUAGGCUAAUCUAGGUAUCAUGCUAGAAUGUUUAUCCAUUUUUAUUAAAUUUCCGCUGAAAUUUGGGAAGAGCUCUACUUCACUUGUGGGGAAAUUGAAGUACAAGAAAAUUACAUAUUAUGCCCAAGAACAAAAUUUGAAUCAAGUUCUGAUUCCAAAUUCCAUAAACUUUCCAUAGAAAAGCAAGAAUUUGAGUGUCUCUAAAACCAUCCAGAGCAACGUACAGUCUCCGUGGUGGAUUCUUGUUCCCUUAGAAGGUAAUUCUCUCUUGCAAAAUUAGUUUUCAAGCUCACAUCGCUUGGAAAUCACUGGCCGGCAGGGCUCUCAAUUGCUCAGAUUCCCUGAGCCAUCAAGCAAACUUCUACUUUAACAUCCUCGGUGAGCUGCCCCCCACCCCCACAAAAAUGACACCAAUCCCCUCGGCACCUUUGCUUUCAUGGUUAAUUAGUACACGAUCACUCUGAUUAUACACCACCAUCAUGCUAACUUAACACCCAGGGGUCAUUCUCAGACUCUGUGAGUUCUCCUGCAAAUGGAACUUCCAUGUCUAUGAGAGCUUCACUAUGGCAGCCUUUUCAUUGCUCCACAGCCAAUGCCAGUGCUGGUAACAGAGCAACCCACCCAAUCUGCCUAGGCCCUUCUUUAUGAAUUACACCUAGCUGGUUAGUGUAAGGCAGAACCCCUAAUGCUUAAGCAACUCUUAGACUUUCAACAACUCCAUAAAGAAGUCAACCAAUAUUUACCAAGUAUCUGUGGGCCCAGACACAAUACUUUAACCAAACGGCUAUUUAGACUCUAAUUCAAAGUGUGAAUGUUGGAGUUCCCCUUGUGGUUCAGCAUGUUAGGAACCUGACUAGUAUCUCUGAGGAUGUGGAUUCAAUCCCAGGCCUUGCUCACUGGGUUAAGGAUCCAGUGUUGCUACAAGCUGUGGUGUAGGUUGCAGAUGUCGCUGGGAUCCCACGUUGCCAUGCCUGUGGUGUAGGCCUGCAGCUGCAGCUCUGAUUCGACCCCUAGACUGGAAACUUCCAUAUGCCAUGGCAUGGUGGUAAAAGAAAAAAAAAAAGAAUGAAUGUCUGCCCUUGUGGAAACCACAGUCUAGUAGAUGAGACAUAACUUCUCACCCCAAGAUACCAACUAUCUAAAGGAACCCAGGGAGACCAGUCAAGCUGUAGAACAGGGCAGAAGGCUGUCCAUCACAGUACUUCCAAUACAGGCUAUGGCUGCCACAGGAGCAAUUGUAAAACCCAGUGUCAGGGGAUGGAGGACACCACCCUGCUACUGCCUGGUGAAGGAAGAAGUCUGGGCUCACUGCAGGCUCCGUGGACACCCCCAGGGGAGAGGGACCCUAGUAGCUGCUGGCUGGGAGUGAUUCUACCCACCCGCCACAAGCCUGGGCUGAUACCACCCUGGCACUAUGAAGUCCUGAGGCCUGAGGCCUUAGCCAGGCUGCCUUCUCUCUAUCCUUCAGCAUCUUCUCAUGUUCAUUUUGUAGAUAAUGCCCAGUGUUUUCAGUUGACUUAGCAGGAAGAAUGGAAAAAAUACCACUUCUACACCUCCUAUGUGACAUUGUGUGUCAGUCCAGAAGCCAGCCUGUCCCCUGGAUUUUAACCCCUUGGCCAGGGUUAAAAGUUGUGUCAAUUUCACCUGACCUUGGCUAUUUCCUUCCCCUACACCUAUCUGGGCCUGUGGUCUCCCAGCCUAACCACAGCCAUAACUACCUUGUUCCUGGCAAGGCAGACAGGCUGGGAGCUGGGUGAAAAAACACUUAUUCAUCUCAGCAUUGAAUUCUGUUCUCUCCAACGACCAGAAUAAUAAGCCAUAUGCUGCUUUAUAUUCCUGGCUAAUAACCAGCAAGGAGGAAAUGAGCACAUUUAUGAAUUAUCCUGUUGAUGUUCUUCAGUGUGCAAAUCCCAGUGUUAUUUUAAGUAAUAUCCCUGCCAAAGUAAUCAUUUCCCACAACUAAUGUUUCAUUUUGAAAAUAACCUCAGAGAUGAUCUUCCUUAUGUUACAUGAACAUCUUUACAUUGAAAUCCUCAAAGUUUAAUUGUGCAAUGUCCAGCGGCUUGCGAGAACUGGUACAGCGUGGGCCCAGCUAAAAAACGCACUUGCUCACCAGUAUGCUGUGAAAACAGAAAAGCAGUUAUGAUUAGCCAGGGGUUCCUGUUGUGGCUCAGUGGGUUACAAACCCAACUAGUAUCCAUAAGGAUUCAGGUUCCAUCCCUGGCCUUGCUCAGUGGGUUAAGAAUACAGUGUUGCCACCAUGAGCUGUGGUGUAGGUCACAGAUGCUGCUCGGAUCCCGUGUUGCUAUUGCUGUGGCAUAGGCCAGAAAUCCCUAGCCCGAGAACUUCCAUAUGCUGCAGGCAUGGCC